GAAUAGGAAUGACAAUGGAUAUGGAUAUCCGAAAUAUCAUCUGAAUCCGAACCCGAACGAAGUAGGUUUAUCCGAACUAAACGGAUAUGAAUUUGGUUAUGGGUAUAGAAAAUAAAAACCCGACCGAUAUGGAUACGGGUAUGAAUUUUGUAUUUACCCGACCCGAACCCGAACCGAACCCGAACCCGAAUAAAUUAUAUAUAUACAUACUUUACUUUUAUUUAUUUAUAUAAUAUAUAAAAAAUUUAAUAAUUUUUUUCUCUUA
RNAcentral lists this long non-coding RNA (265 nucleotides) under Ananas comosus (pineapple). RNAcentral describes it as "long non-coding RNA (ACOM_LNC014625)". The record is from RNAcentral. Lineage: Eukaryota; Viridiplantae; Streptophyta; Magnoliopsida; Poales; Bromeliaceae.